This is a long non-coding RNA of Triticum dicoccoides, 1221 nucleotides long. RefSeq lists it as uncharacterized. Lineage: Eukaryota; Viridiplantae; Streptophyta; Magnoliopsida; Poales; Poaceae. The transcript is spliced from 4 exons. The record is from RefSeq and is a predicted model, not a curated record.
GCACCAGAAAGGCUGGCCCAUGUCCGUGACCUUAUCCCUAACUCAUGAACAAGCCGUCGCCGCACACCUGCUCUGCCCCUCCGUCUCUCUCUCUCUCUCUCAAAUCCGACGGCGGCACUGGUUUCUCUCCGGUGAGCAUCUCCCUGGCCCCUUGGCCCUACCCACGUACCCGGUGGUCGUGGGCAAUUCGUCUCCACACGCCGGCUCUGCCGUUGGGUCUCUUUUCCCCCAACCUUGACGGCGCCAGGGUUUGUUCUCCGGCGAGAUGUGCUCCUUUGGUGUUGAGGUGCCACGGGAUCCAUGUUUGGGACGUCAGAGCCGAUUCCUGAUGUAUUCCCGUGGAGUCGCGGGAUUUCAUGAGCAUCGCCGAUACCCAGCUGGGCCGCGGCAGCGAGGGCACACAUCUGUGCGGGGACGCCUGCUUAGGUUUGCUCAGAAGCCACCAGCGGCUGGACCAUUAGCGGCUGUCCCCCGUGGAUGAGUUUGCCGAAGCGCGGCAAGGUGGACCAUACAUGUAAUGAAGGGCCCCAAAUCUUCCGGUCGGAUGGAGUCAGGGGCUUCUCUUAGUAUCAUCGAAGCUGAAAUUUGCAACGCUGCUGAGCUUGGAAGCGGUGGGCAAAGUGGUGGAUUCCCCCCUGAAGCCGGUGUGUUCCAAGUUUGCGCUGAAGCUACUAGUGGAUGGACCAUGUAUUUUUGUCAAAUUCUUAACGAUGUCUCUGUCCUAUUGACAACUGUUGCUGUUUCAUAUGGUACUCUCUUGAGAGCAGGAACCUGAUUCAUGUAUGAUUUUGAAAUGGUCAAUCCUUUUCUGGUCUGCACAUUUGUUGGAAUUUUAUGGAGCCAACUCUGUUCACGAAUGAUGCAAUAAUUGAAGAUAUGAAGAAGGCUUACAUGGACGCGCAAGAGAUCGAGGAGUAGAACAAAUAAGCUUUAUGCAAUGGAUAAUUUGCAAGGCAAGGUUCUCCAUGCCUGUAUGUACGUUGCUGCUUUUGGAAUUUGGCAGUUGCUUACUGGUAAUGUUUCAUGAUUGAUGCUGAAUUCCUAGAUGCAUUUUGUAAACAUUUGGAUUUGUCCAGGGGCAUGCCUGUAUGUACUAGAUGUUUACUUGUUUUCACUUAUCUGCAGAAGUGGUAUGUUUCCUGUGAGAUUAAAUUAACUAGGUCCUAAUUAUGUAUUAUGUGAAAUGGUAUAUAUUAAUGGAUGUGUAUUUUCUGGUUACCA